AUACGGAGGAUCCAAGCGUUAUCCGGAUUUAUUGGGUUUAAAGGGAGCGUAGGUUGACAUAUAAGUCAGCUGUGAAAGUUUACGGCUCAACCGUGAAAUUGCAGUUGAUACUGUAUGUCUUGAGUGUACAAGAGGUGGGCGGAAUUCGUGGCGUAGCGGUGAAAUGCUUAGAUAUCACGAAGAACUCCAAUUGCGAAGGCAGCUCACUGGGGUACAACUGACACUGAGGCUCGAAAGUGUGGGUAUCAAACAGGAUUAGAUACCCUGGUAGUCCACACAGUAAACGAUGAAUACUCGCUGUUUGCGAUAUACAGUAAGCGGCCAAGCGAAAGCAUUAAGUAUUCCGCCUGGGGAGUACGACCGCAAGGUUGAA
RNAcentral lists this ribosomal RNA (373 nucleotides) under uncultured bacterium. Its description in RNAcentral is "bacterial SSU rRNA". It matches the Rfam family "Bacterial small subunit ribosomal RNA", at positions 523 to 898 of the family's 1533-position model. The record is from RNAcentral.